UUAGGAUAUUAACUCUUUGUUAUUCAUUGAGCUAGUUCUACUACUACAAACUUCCCUCACAUUUAAUACAGAAUUUACUGGCCUGACCACUUGGUUUGAUGCAUUGCCCAUUGUCUUAAAAGAAAUGUGUCUAUUUAAUGCUCAUUUAAGCCGUGCUUCAAGGAAGAAAACAUAUUUUUAUCACGAUGCUUCCUCCAGCUGAGCAGACCCUACCUUUUAGCUUACAAGCAACAUGGAUAACUAGUGCGUGUUCUAGGAAUAUUCUCUUGAGGGCAGAGACAGCAGAGACUUGACAUUUCCUUCCUCUACACUGAAGCUUUGCUGAAUUUAUAAAUUAGCACACAAAGAACUCAAAGGGAAAUAGAAGGACAUUUCUAUCUCAUCUUCCAACAAGCCUGGGACUCCUGUGGGAAAGGAGAAAUGUAUAGUUCUUGUGGGUUCCAUUCUCCUCUUAGAAGCCAUUGGUCUUCCAUUCCUCUCAAACAGAUCUGAAUCCAACUGAAAAGAGAAGGGGAAGAAAUCUGGGGUGUGGUGUGGGCAGCAGGUUGGGCUGGAAAACAGCUGUUGCAAAGCUGUCAGGAGUCUCAGGGGUAUUAUUUCAGAGUAAACUGCAAUCUCUCCAAAUG
This 626-nucleotide long non-coding RNA is filed under the name Monodelphis domestica (gray short-tailed opossum). RNAcentral describes it as "lncRNA (ENSMODG00000048966.1)". The record is from RNAcentral. Lineage: Eukaryota; Metazoa; Chordata; Mammalia; Didelphimorphia; Didelphidae.